Molecule: long non-coding RNA, 668 nt
Filed under: Actinia tenebrosa (Australian red waratah sea anemone)
Lineage: Eukaryota; Metazoa; Cnidaria; Anthozoa; Actiniaria; Actiniidae
Description: uncharacterized LOC116299677, transcript variant X2
Source: RNAcentral
UCUGGUGUGGUAAGAUAUGGUCAUACUUAAAAAUAUUAAGGCGAGAAUUUAAGAAAUGCUUUAAGGAGCGCAUAAUAACUCGUAGGUUCUACUUAAAGGAUCUUCCGAAAAGGCAUUAUUCAUUCAUAUAGAAAUCUUUGGGGAUCUGAGAGUGAAAUACCCGUACAGCUAAACCAAGUCAAGUCAAACAGGUCAACGCUUAAACAUCAUGAAGUUUUCAAGAGGAGGAUUUUUCAUCUUGGCAGUUGUCUGCCUUGCUGUACUAACAGAAUGCGCACCACGUCUAAGGAGCCCGCGCCAUAUCAGAAAACCAAGAGGCUCAAUCAACGGUUUCUACUGGAACAAAAAACUUCCCGUUGGCUUCGUCAUCAACAACGUCAAAGCAGACAACAAGCAAUUCAAGCGCAGCGUUGGCAGUGGUAGUGGCAGCGGCAGUGGUAGUGGAAGCGGUGCUAAGGCUUAAAUAAAUGCUGACUUUCUCGUAAUAUUGAUAGCUAACGUGUGAUAGUCAAAUUGACAUAAAAGAAAACGAUGGAAAUAAGAUCUAAUAUUUAUGUUAGUUAUAUGACGAUGCGUCGUAUUGUAAUGGAGUUUAAUACAUUAUAAAAAUAUGAGUACAGUGUAAUAGCGAAUACAUUAACAAUAAUAGUUAUAAUCAUAAUCAUAAU